GACGAACGCUGGCGGCGUGCUUAACACAUGCAAGUCGAGCGGUAAGGCCCUUUCGGGGGUACACGAGCGGCGAACGGGUGAGUAACACGUGGGUGACCUGCCCUCAGCUUUGGGAUAAGCCUGGGAAACUGGGUCUAAUACUGGAUAUGACUCCACGGUGCAUGUCGUGGGGUGGAAAGCCUUGUGCGGCUGAGGAUGGGCCCGCGGCCUAUCAGCUUGUUGGUGGGGUGAUGGCCUACCAAGGCGACGACGGGUAGCCGGCCUGAGAGGGCGACCGGCCACACUGGGACUGAGACACGGCCCAGACUCCUACGGGAGGCAGCAGUGGGGAAUCUUGCGCAAUGGGCGAAAGCCUGACGCAGCGACGCCGCGUGAGGGAUGACGGCCUGGU
This 391-nucleotide ribosomal RNA is filed under the name uncultured bacterium. RNAcentral describes it as "bacterial SSU rRNA". It matches the Rfam family "Bacterial small subunit ribosomal RNA", at positions 28 to 420 of the family's 1533-position model. The record is from RNAcentral.